RNAcentral lists this ribosomal RNA (467 nucleotides) under uncultured bacterium. RNAcentral's name for it is "partial 16S ribosomal RNA". It matches the Rfam family "Bacterial small subunit ribosomal RNA", at positions 29 to 507 of the family's 1533-position model. The record is from RNAcentral.
ACGAACGCUGGCGGCGUGCUUAACACAUGCCAGUCGAACGGAAAGGCCCUGCUUUUGUGGGGUGCUCGAGUGGCGAACGGGUGAGUAACACGUGAGUAACCUGCCCUUGACUUUGGGAUAACUUCAGGAAACUGGGGCUAAUACCGGAUAGGAGCUCCUGCUGCCUGGUGGGGGUUGGAAAGUUUCGGCGGUUGGGGAUGGACUCGCGGCUUAUCAGCUUGUUGGUGGGGUAGUGGCUUACCAAGGCUUUGACGGGUAGCCGGCCUGAGAGGGUGACCGGCCACAUUGGGACUGAGAUACGGCCCAGACUCCUACGGGAGGCAGCAGUGGGGAAUAUUGCACAAUGGGCGGAAGCCUGAUGCAGCAGCGCCGCGUGCGGGAUGACGGCCUUCGGGUUGUAAACCGCUUUCGCCUGUGACGAAGCGUGAGUGACGGUAAUGGGUAAAGAAGCACCGGCUAACUACGUG